This 428-nucleotide ribosomal RNA is filed under the name uncultured bacterium. Its description in RNAcentral is "partial 16S ribosomal RNA". It matches the Rfam family "Bacterial small subunit ribosomal RNA", at positions 354 to 796 of the family's 1533-position model. The record is from RNAcentral.
GUGGGGAAUAUUGGUCAAUGGGGGAAACCCUGAACCAGCAACGCCGCGUGAAGGAAGAAGGCUUUCGGGUUGUAAACUUCUUUGACAGGGGACGAAACAAAUGACGGUACCCUGAAAACAAGCCACGGCUAACUACGUGCCAGCAGCCGCGGUAAUACGUAGGUGGCAAGCGUUGUCCGGAUUUACUGGGUGUAAAGGGCGUGUAGGCGGGACGGUAAGUCAGAUGUGAAAUGUAGGGUCUCAACCCCUGAACUGCAAUUGAAACUAUCGUUCUGGAGUGAUGGAGAGGCAGGCUGAAUGCCGUGUGUAGCGGUGAAAUGCGUAGAUAUACGGAGGAACACCAGUGGCGAAGGCGGCCUGCUGGAAAUUAACUGACGCUGAGGCGCGAAGCCGUGGGGAGCAAACAGGAUUAGAUGCCCGUGUAGUCC